UCAACCCUCAGGCCCGGCCUGGUGUUGGAGGACUGCGCACGCAGCCUCCCAAAGCGAGCGGCGGCGUCGCCCCCUACCGAACGCAGUAGUUUUCUCUCGUUCCGGGACCGGGUCGUCGUCCUGCCGGAAAACCCCCCACUUUUGU
This 145-nucleotide unclassified non-coding RNA is filed under the name uncultured Chaetosphaeriales. RNAcentral describes it as "sequence contains ITS2". The record is from RNAcentral. Lineage: Eukaryota; Fungi; Ascomycota; Sordariomycetes.